CUGCCCUCAAGCACGGCUUGUGUGUUGGGCAACGCGGUCCGCCGCGUGCCUCAAAUCGACCGGCUGGGUCUUCUGUCCCCUAAGCGUUGUGGAAACUAUUCGCUAAAGGGUGUUCGGGAGGCUACGCCGUAAAACAACCCCAUUUCUAA
RNAcentral lists this unclassified non-coding RNA (149 nucleotides) under uncultured Dothideomycetes. Its description in RNAcentral is "sequence contains ITS2". The record is from RNAcentral. Lineage: Eukaryota; Fungi; Ascomycota; Dothideomycetes. RNAcentral also lists the same sequence under 1 other name.